Molecule: non-coding RNA, 1088 nt
Organism: Peromyscus maniculatus bairdii (prairie deer mouse)
Lineage: Eukaryota; Metazoa; Chordata; Mammalia; Rodentia; Cricetidae
Source: RefSeq, a predicted model, not a curated record
GCGCUGGGGGGCGCUUCCCGCCCCACCCCGCCUCCAGAACAACGGGUUCCCGCUGCUGCCCCCUGCCGCUCGCCGCGGCUCCGACGGAGGCGUCGGGGGGCGCCGCUUCCGUGGGAACCGGGCCCGGGACGUGCUGCGGCUGGCCGGUUUCCUGUCAGAAAACUUGCAGCGACUUUCGGGAAGCCGGUGGGAGCCCCCCGGGCCCGGGCGGCCGGAGUUGUCCGCGGGUCCCUCGGCCUGACGACCUCCCUCGUACUUUGGAACAACGGGGGACGGGCUGGGGCGCAGCGACGCGCGGCUCACUCCGGAAACCGGAGUGCUGCUUGUGGGGGGUUUUUAAAGGGCUACCAACCGCGGCAACUCGGGGUUUGCCGUUGAAACCAUUUUCUCCCCCCUGUGUGGACACAAAGGUCGGGAUCAGGAAAGUUGAUUGCAGCCCGCAUGACUGCGUUUCCUUGACUUUAUUGCUUUAAAAAAAAAAGAAAAGAAAAACAACCCUCGUGGCCUUCUCUAAAGAGGCACGCUGCUUUCUGAAUCCGAGAGGGAGAAAAAUAAUUCGAGAGAUCCUGGAAAAGUUCAAUGAGCAAGCCACAUUUCGACAUUUCCCAGAUUUUGCAAUGUUAAACUGGGUCUGUGCCAACUUACUGACACACUAUAAAUUUCUCAAGAUGAAGGGUGUUCAACCAAAUUGCCAGGCCCCGUAAGCAGGCACGAACAGCACUGGCUUAAUUACACCUUUUCUUUCUCUCGCAGCCUUAUUUAAUUCGCUGCCGGAUGAAGUCCUCAUCCCGGGUGUCACUAACUGGCCCUUUUCUGGGGCUGAACAAUCACACACUUCCCAUGCCUCAGUAGCUCCAAGAAUUGUAUAAACCAUCGCCCUCUGUUUCCGUUCUCGAGUCGAUCUUGUCCUAAAAUGCAACCCAAUCAGGUGAUUUGACACAACUUUCAACUAAUUUCUUCUGUGGUGACGUAGUCUACUCGCGAACUGUGACCAAGUAUAGAUGUCUCUGGCACCCUUGACAUUUUCUAGAAUUCUGUGUUAAACAGCUGUAUGACCAAGAAAUAAAAAGGGAACUUUUGAAGGGAAA